GCUUCUAUAGCGCAGAGGAUAGCGCGUCGGACUUCGAUUCCGAAGGUCGCGGGUUCGAUCCCCGCCAGAAGUG
Thrips palmi is the source of this 73-nucleotide non-coding RNA. The record is from the annotation of a RefSeq genome assembly. Lineage: Eukaryota; Metazoa; Arthropoda; Insecta; Thysanoptera; Thripidae.